RNAcentral lists this ribosomal RNA (570 nucleotides) under bacterium RBM-A11. Its description in RNAcentral is "bacterial SSU rRNA". It matches the Rfam family "Bacterial small subunit ribosomal RNA", at positions 76 to 642 of the family's 1533-position model. The record is from RNAcentral.
GAGCUUGCUCUUCGAUUCAGCGGCGGACGGGUGAGUAAUGCCUAGGAAUCUGCCUGGUAGUGGGGGACAACGUUUCGAAAGGAACGCUAAUACCGCAUACGUCCUACGGGAGAAAGCAGGGGACCUUCGGGCCUUGCGCUAUCAGAUGAGCCUAGGUCGGAUUAGCUAGUUGGUGGGGUAAUGGCUCACCAAGGCGACGAUCCGUAACUGGUCUGAGAGGAUGAUCAGUCACACUGGAACUGAGACACGGUCCAGACUCCUACGGGAGGCAGCAGUGGGGAAUAUUGGACAAUGGGCGAAAGCCUGAUCCAGCCAUGCCGCGUGUGUGAAGAAGGUCUUCGGAUUGUAAAGCACUUUAAGUUGGGAGGAAGGGCAGUAAGCGAAUACCUUGCUGUUUUGACGUUACCGACAGAAUAAGCACCGGCUAACUCUGUGCCAGCAGCCGCGGUAAUACAGAGGGUGCAAGCGUUAAUCGGAAUUACUGGGCGUAAAGCGCGCGUAGGUGGUUUGUUAAGUUGAAUGUGAAAGCCCCGGGCUCAACCUGGGAACUGCAUCCAAAACUGGCAAGCU